This 400-nucleotide ribosomal RNA is filed under the name phytoplankton environmental sample. RNAcentral describes it as "partial small subunit ribosomal RNA". It matches the Rfam family "Eukaryotic small subunit ribosomal RNA", at positions 587 to 988 of the family's 1831-position model. The record is from RNAcentral.
AGCUCCAAUAGCGUAUAUUAAAGUUGUUGCAGUUAAAAAGCUCGUAGUUGGAUUUCUGGUAGGAGCGACCAUACCGGACUUGAUUGUCCGUGUUUUGUGUUGUCUCCAGCCAUCCUCGUGGAGAGCAUUUCUGGCAUUAGUUUGUCGGAUUUGGGACCCGCGUCAUUUACUGUGAAAAAAUUAGAGUGUUUAAAGCAGGCAAUUGGCUUGAAUACAUUAGCAUGGAAUAAUAAGAUAGGACUCAUGUGCUAUUUUGUUGGUUUGUACACUUGGGUAAUGAUUAACAGAAUCAGUCGGGGAUAUUUGUAUGAAAAUGUCAGAGGUGAAAUUCUUGGAUUUUUUUCAGACAAACUACUGCGAAAGCAUUUAUCAAGGAUGUUUUCAUUAAUCAAGAACGAAA